GGGAGAGAGACAGAUGUCGUCCUCUUCCCUCGAGAACUGUUUAAGAGAGAGACAGAGUGAGUGAGAGAGAGAGGGCUUUAGACAGAGAACGGAGAGAGAAAGCUUUGAGGGGGGAGAGAAACAGAAAGCUUUGAAGGGGAGAGAGAGAGAGAGAGAGAGAGAGCUUUGAAGGGGUAGGGAGAGAGAAGGAACGUAUAAUGGGAAACCAAAAGCAAAAAUGGACGGCGGAGGAGGAAGAAGGCCUACUGGCCGGAGUUGCAAAGCACGGCCCGGGCAAGUGGAAGAACAUUCUCAAAGAUCCCGAAUUUGCCUCUGUCCUAAUACACCGCUCCAAUAUCGACCUCAAGGAUAAGUGGAGGAACUUGAGUGUUAGUACUUCUGGACAUGGUUCUAAGGACAGACCAAGGGGUACUAAGGUAAAAAAUAGUGUGGCUGCCCAGCAUCUUGUUCGUAACUCUGCUCCUACUGCUUCGGUUCGUCCCAAUGCAUCUCCUGCUUCAGCCCCUCCCAAUUCAUCUCCUGCUUCAGUUCGUCCGAGUGCAUCUCCUGCUUCAGUUUGUCCCAAUGCAUCUCCUGAUGCCAUGAUGGACGAUGCGGUUAAUAGUGCACCAGAAUUGAAAAGUGCUUCACAGUACGAUCCAAUGAUUUUCCAGGCCCUUUCAACGAUGAAAGAUAUGAAUGGAUCUGAUUUAGGUGCCAUUCUUAACUUUAUUGAGCAAAGGCAUGAGGUACCCGUACCACCAAAUUUCAGAAGGUUAUUGGGUCCAAGGUUGAGAAGGCUUGUUUCACAAGGAAAACUGGAAAAGGUGCAAAAUCGCUACAAGUUAAAAAAAGAUGCAACAUUUGGAACAAAAACACCUACACUUACGCGAAAUCAAAGGGAUGUUAGGCCCCGGAAAUUGCAGAAUUCUGGGUCAAUGACAUUUACUGAAACAGUGCAGGAUGCAGCUGAAACUGCUGCCCAUAAACUUGCAGACGCUGAAGACAAAUCCUUUGUGGCUGCUGUUGCAAUGAAGGAAGCAGACAGGAUUUCAAAGAUGACAGAAGACAACGAGUCAAUUUUACAGCUAAUUGAAGAGAUUUAUGGACAAUGUUCACGUGGUGAAGUUGUCGCCUUGGCGUAGGUCAUCAACUUAUGCGGUUAUACCAGAAGUCAAUUCCAUUUGGAUGGUGUUUUGAGUGUUCCUGGAUUCAACCUACAGCUAUCUGCUUCUAACAGUCCAAGUUAUCAGCAAGCUUCCCGUCGAGGAGGUGGUGGGCAGCUCCAUGCAGCAACUGCUGCUGCUGCUCAAAAUGGGGAAGCUCUUUGGAGUUUCCCGUCAGGUGGUGGGUGGCUCCACGCAGCAACUGCUGCUGCUGCACAAAAUGGGGAAGCUCUUUGGAGUUUCCCAUCAAACAGGUGAUGGGCGGCUCCAAGGGGUUGCACAACAGCCCACCAUGCCUACCAGGGACCUUAUAAAUAGAUUCUCCCACACAACUCAAGUGUAAUGAAUCACAUUAGGAAUCAAUUUAGGUGAAAGACCUAUCACCAAGAACA
RNA transcript from Prunus dulcis (almond), 1537 nucleotides. It is a transcript of the gene named telomere repeat-binding factor 4, with no coding region annotated. NCBI's taxonomy places the organism in Eukaryota, Viridiplantae, Streptophyta, Magnoliopsida, Rosales, Rosaceae. The transcript is spliced from 8 exons. The record is from RefSeq and is a predicted model, not a curated record.